UCGAGUUUUGACUGGGUUGUAGCUGGCCUUACGAGGCAUUGUGCACGCCCUGCUCAUCCACUCUACACCUGUGCACUUACUGUGGGUUACGGAUUGUGGAGCGGGCUCUUUGCGGAGCUUGUGAAGCGCUUCUGUGCCUGCGUUUUAUAACAAACACUUUAAAAGUAUUAGAAUGUGUAUUGCGAUGUAACGCAUCUAUAUA
RNAcentral lists this unclassified non-coding RNA (202 nucleotides) under uncultured Ganoderma. Its description in RNAcentral is "sequence contains ITS1". Lineage: Eukaryota; Fungi; Basidiomycota; Agaricomycetes; Polyporales; Polyporaceae. The record is from RNAcentral.